AGUUCAAUCCGGGUGUCGCCU
RNAcentral lists this transfer RNA (21 nucleotides) under Streptocarpus cyaneus. RNAcentral's name for it is "partial tRNA-Cys". RNAcentral also lists the same sequence under 2 other names. The record is from RNAcentral. Lineage: Eukaryota; Viridiplantae; Streptophyta; Magnoliopsida; Lamiales; Gesneriaceae.